GGUGAGAGGUUAUUCCGUUGCAUAGCUUUCGGUCUCGAUAAUCGUUCUUUUAUAUUGGUGUAAAUGUUUCGCUUAAUUACAACGAGAUACAUUCGAACAUUCAGAAAAAUUUCUGAAACAUCCACGUUGCUUUACAAAUUACCAAAUUUUUACUACGACGGAGUUCGGGGUAAUGGCUGAAUCAAUUGGGCGUAGUGAAUAUGUAGGCCACGUGGCAAAGCAACUUACUCGGGAAGAAAUUGAAAAAAUGCAGGCGCAAGAUUCACGAUUAGUCUCCGAAUUUCGAGCCAAUCAACUGGAAAAAGACGCUAAAAAGCAUUGGGACCUAUUUUAUAAGCGAAACGAUACUAGAUUCUUUAAAGACAGACAUUGGACUACCAGAGAAUUCAAUGAAUUAUUGGGUGUGGGUACAAAAGAAGAUGAUAAUGUUCUUCUUGAAGUCGGUUGCGGUGUUGGAAACUUCAUAUAUCCUUUGAUCGAGGAUGGAUUGAAAUUUAGAGCAAUAUUUGCAUGUGAUCUCUCUCCAAGAGCUGUGGGAUUGACAAAGAGUCAUUCGCUAUAUGAUCCAACAAAUAUGAGAAUCUUCCAAACGGAUAUUACAACAGACAAUUGUUUUCGCGAGGUAGAUUGCCCGGUGAAUGUAGUAACAUUAAUAUUCGUUUUAUCCGCUAUUCAUCCAGAAAAGUUUAGAAAAGUUAUCGAAAAUUUGUACAACAUUCUUGAUAACGGAGGAAUUGUGCUUUUUAGAGAUUACGGUUUAUAUGAUAUGGCUCAAUUAAGGUUUAAACCUGGUCACAAAAUCAGUGAAAAUCUUUAUAUGAGACAAGACGGUACUAGGACAUACUAUUUCUCAAAAGAAGAAGUGUCGAGUUUAUUUGAAUCUGUUGGCUUUGAAAUUUUAACAUGUACUUAUAUACAAAGACGCACCAUAAACUUGAAAGAAGGAAUAGAUGUACCCAGAAUUUUUGUUCAAGGAAAGUUCAAGAAGCUUUGAUAAUAUUGAAUGUGAACUCAAUGAUGAUAACUGCACACUAUUCAAAAUCUCUGUUGCUGAAUGUGAAAUUGAAUAGAAGCUGAAGAACACUGGUAUGACGAGAAAAUGAAUAUUUUAAACGAGAAAAGUUGGAUGAAAUCUGCAAGCCUCUAAUCACAGAUUAUCAGGGAG
Eufriesea mexicana is the source of this 1165-nucleotide RNA transcript. It is a transcript of the gene named methyltransferase-like protein 6, with no coding region annotated. The transcript is spliced from 8 exons. NCBI's taxonomy places the organism in Eukaryota, Metazoa, Arthropoda, Insecta, Hymenoptera, Apidae. The record is from RefSeq and is a predicted model, not a curated record.